Molecule: ribosomal RNA, 2902 nt
Filed under: Klebsiella pneumoniae
Lineage: Bacteria; Pseudomonadati; Pseudomonadota; Gammaproteobacteria; Enterobacterales; Enterobacteriaceae
Also listed under: 3 other names
Description: 23S ribosomal RNA
Rfam family: Bacterial large subunit ribosomal RNA
Source: RNAcentral
GGUUAAGCGACUAAGCGUACACGGUGGAUGCCCUGGCAGUCAGAGGCGAUGAAGGACGUGCUAAUCUGCGAAAAGCGUCGGUAAGGUGAUAUGAACCGUUAUAACCGGCGAUGUCCGAAUGGGGAAACCCAGUGCAAUUCGUUGCACUAUCGUUAACUGAAUACAUAGGUUAACGAGGCGAACCGGGGGAACUGAAACAUCUAAGUACCCCGAGGAAAAGAAAUCAACCGAGAUUCCCCCAGUAGCGGCGAGCGAACGGGGAGCAGCCCAGAGUCUGAAUCAGCUUGUGUGUUAGUGGAACGGUCUGGAAAGUCCGACGGUACAGGGUGAUAGUCCCGUACACCAAAAUGCACAGGUUGUGAACUCGAAGAGUAGGGCGGGACACGUGGUAUCCUGUCUGAAUAUGGGGGGACCAUCCUCCAAGGCUAAAUACUCCUGACUGACCGAUAGUGAACCAGUACCGUGAGGGAAAGGCGAAAAGAACCCCGGCGAGGGGAGUGAAAAAGAACCUGAAACCGUGUACGUACAAGCAGUGGGAGCACCUUCGGGUGUGACUGCGUACCUUUUGUAUAAUGGGUCAGCGACUUAUAUUCUGUAGCAAGGUUAACCGUAUAGGGGAGCCGCAGGGAAACCGAGUCUUAACUGGGCGUUAAGUUGCAGGGUAUAGACCCGAAACCCGGUGAUCUAGCCAUGGGCAGGUUGAAGGUUGGGUAACACUAACUGGAGGACCGAACCGACUAAUGUUGAAAAAUUAGCGGAUGACUUGUGGCUGGGGGUGAAAGGCCAAUCAAACCGGGAGAUAGCUGGUUCUCCCCGAAAGCUAUUUAGGUAGCGCCUCGUGAAUUCAUCUUCGGGGGUAGAGCACUGUUUCGGCUAGGGGGUCAUCCCGACUUACCAACCCGAUGCAAACUACGAAUACCGAAGAAUGUUAUCACGGGAGACACACGGCGGGUGCUAACGUCCGUCGUGAAGAGGGAAACAACCCAGACCGCCAGCUAAGGUCCCAAAGUCAUGGUUAAGUGGGAAACGAUGUGGGAAGGCACAGACAGCCAGGAUGUUGGCUUAGAAGCAGCCAUCAUUUAAAGAAAGCGUAAUAGCUCACUGGUCGAGUCGGCCUGCGCGGAAGAUGUAACGGGGCUAAACCAUGCACCGAAGCUGCGGCAGCGACACUAUGUGUUGUUGGGUAGGGGAGCGUUCUGUAAGCCUGCGAAGGUGACCUGUGAGGGUUGCUGGAGGUAUCAGAAGUGCGAAUGCUGACAUAAGUAACGAUAAAGCGGGUGAAAAGCCCGCUCGCCGGAAGACCAAGGGUUCCUGUCCAACGUUAAUCGGGGCAGGGUGAGUCGACCCCUAAGGCGAGGCCGAAAGGCGUAGUCGAUGGGAAACAGGUUAAUAUUCCUGUACUUGGUGUUACUGCGAAGGGGGGACGGAGAAGGCUAUGUUAGCCGGGCGACGGUUGUCCCGGUUUAAGCAUGUAGGCUGGUUGUCCAGGCAAAUCCGGAUAAUCAAGGCUGAGGUGUGAUGACGAGGCACUACGGUGCUGAAGUAACAAAUGCCCUGCUUCCAGGAAAAGCCUCUAAGCAUCAGGUAACAUCAAAUCGUACCCCAAACCGACACAGGUGGUCAGGUAGAGAAUACCAAGGCGCUUGAGAGAACUCGGGUGAAGGAACUAGGCAAAAUGGUGCCGUAACUUCGGGAGAAGGCACGCUGGUGUGUAGGUGAAGUCCCUGCGGAUGGAGCUGAGACCAGUCGAAGAUACCAGCUGGCUGCAACUGUUUAUUAAAAACACAGCACUGUGCAAACACGAAAGUGGACGUAUACGGUGUGACGCCUGCCCGGUGCCGGAAGGUUAAUUGAUGGGGUUAUCCGUAAGGAGAAGCUCUUGAUCGAAGCCCCGGUAAACGGCGGCCGUAACUAUAACGGUCCUAAGGUAGCGAAAUUCCUUGUCGGGUAAGUUCCGACCUGCACGAAUGGCGUAAUGAUGGCCAGGCUGUCUCCACCCGAGACUCAGUGAAAUUGAACUCGCUGUGAAGAUGCAGUGUACCCGCGGCAAGACGGAAAGACCCCGUGAACCUUUACUAUAGCUUGACACUGAACAUUGAGCCUUGAUGUGUAGGAUAGGUGGGAGGCUUUGAAGCGUGGACGCCAGUCUGCGUGGAGCCAACCUUGAAAUACCACCCUUUAAUGUUUGAUGUUCUAACGUUGGCCCCUGACCGGGGUUGCGGACAGUGUCUGGUGGGUAGUUUGACUGGGGCGGUCUCCUCCCAAAGCGUAACGGAGGAGCACGAAGGUUAGCUAAUCCUGGUCGGACAUCAGGAGGUUAGUGCAAUGGCAUAAGCUAGCUUGACUGCGAGCGUGACGGCGCGAGCAGGUGCGAAAGCAGGUCAUAGUGAUCCGGUGGUUCUGAAUGGAAGGGCCAUCGCUCAACGGAUAAAAGGUACUCCGGGGAUAACAGGCUGAUACCGCCCAAGAGUUCAUAUCGACGGCGGUGUUUGGCACCUCGAUGUCGGCUCAUCACAUCCUGGGGCUGAAGUAGGUCCCAAGGGUAUGGCUGUUCGCCAUUUAAAGUGGUACGCGAGCUGGGUUUAGAACGUCGUGAGACAGUUCGGUCCCUAUCUGCCGUGGGCGCUGGAGAAUUGAGGGGGGCUGCUCCUAGUACGAGAGGACCGGAGUGGACGCAUCACUGGUGUUCGGGUUGUCAUGCCAAUGGCACUGCCCGGUAGCUAAAUGCGGAAGAGAUAAGUGCUGAAAGCAUCUAAGCACGAAACUUGCCCCGAGAUGAGUUCUCCCUGAGACUUUAAGUCUCCUGAAGGAACGUUAAAGACGAUGACGUUGAUAGGCCGGGUGUGUAAGCGCAGCGAUGCGUUGAGCUAACCGGUACUAAUGAACCGUGAGGCUUAACCUU